Molecule: non-coding RNA, 46 nt
Filed under: Schistosoma margrebowiei
Lineage: Eukaryota; Metazoa; Platyhelminthes; Trematoda; Strigeidida; Schistosomatidae
Source: RNAcentral
GAAUUACUGAGGAGUCCCACGAUGGGACGAAAUGGACGUCCAAUGC